RNAcentral lists this non-coding RNA (21 nucleotides) under Caenorhabditis elegans. The record is from RNAcentral. Lineage: Eukaryota; Metazoa; Nematoda; Chromadorea; Rhabditida; Rhabditidae.
UCAUGUCGUUAAAUGUAUCGA